GCCGGGUGCGGUGGCGCGUGCCUGUAAUCCAAGCUACCGGGAGGCUGAGGUUGGAGGAUCGUUUGAGGUCAGGAGCUCUGAGCUGCAGCGGACUAGGCCGAUCGGGUGUCCACACUAAGUUCGGCAUCGAUAUGGUGAUCCUGGGGGAGCCCGGGACCACCAGGUCGUCUAAAGAGGGGUGCCCAGGUCGGAGACGGAGCAGGUCAAAGCCCCCGUGUCGCUCAGUAGUGGGAUCGCGCCUGUGAAUAGACGCUGCAGUUCAGCCUGAGCAAUACAGCGAGACACAAUCUUUA
Molecule: unclassified non-coding RNA, 293 nt
Organism: Astatotilapia calliptera (eastern happy)
Lineage: Eukaryota; Metazoa; Chordata; Actinopteri; Cichliformes; Cichlidae
Rfam family: Metazoan signal recognition particle RNA
About the family: The signal recognition particle (SRP) is a universally conserved ribonucleoprotein.
Source: Ensembl